This 446-nucleotide ribosomal RNA is filed under the name uncultured bacterium. RNAcentral's name for it is "bacterial SSU rRNA". It matches the Rfam family "Bacterial small subunit ribosomal RNA", at positions 32 to 484 of the family's 1533-position model. The record is from RNAcentral.
AAUCAACGCUGGCGGCGUGCCUCAGACAUGCAAGUCGAACGAUUAAACUUCCCUUCGGGGAAGAUAUAAAGUGGCGCACGGGUGAGUAACACGUAAGUAAUCUACCUUCGAGUGGGGAAUAACAGUCGGAAACGACUGCUAAUACCGCAUAAUGCAGCGGCACCUUAUGGUGACAGUUGUUAAAGGAGCAAUCCGCUUGAAGAGGAGCUUGCGGCAGAUUAGCUAGUUGGUAAGGUAAUGGCUUACCAAGGCUACGAUCUGUAUCCGGUCUAAGAGGACGGUCGGACACACUGACACUGAAUAACGGGUCAGACUCCUACGGGAGGCAGCAGUCGGGAAUUUUGGGCAAUGGGCGAAAGCCUGACCCAGCAACGCCGCGUGAAGGAUGAAGUAUUUCGGUAUGUAAACUUCGAAAGAAUGGGAAGAAUUAAUGACGGUACCAUUUA